RNAcentral lists this ribosomal RNA (429 nucleotides) under Chloroflexota bacterium. Its description in RNAcentral is "Chloroflexi bacterium partial 16S ribosomal RNA". It matches the Rfam family "Bacterial small subunit ribosomal RNA", at positions 355 to 776 of the family's 1533-position model. The record is from RNAcentral. Lineage: Bacteria; Bacillati; Chloroflexota.
UGGGGAAUAUUGCACAAUGGGCGCAAGCCUGAUGCAGCCAUGCCGCGUGUAUGAAGAAGGCCUUCGGGUUGUAAAGUACUUUCAGUCGGGAGGAAGGUGGUAAGGUUAAUAACCUUGGCAAUUGACGUUACCGACAGAAGAAGCACCGGCUAACUCCGUGCCAGCAGCCGCGGUAAUACGGAGGGUGCAAGCGUUAAUCGGAAUUACUGGGCGUAAAGCGCACGCAGGCGGUUGAUUGAGUCAGAUGUGAAAUCCCCGGGCUUAACCUGGGAACUGCAUUCGAAACUGGCAGGCUAGAGUAUUGUAGAGGGGGGUAGAAUUCCAGGUGUAGCGAUGAAAUGCGUAGAGAUCUGGAGGAAUACCGGUGGCGAAGGCGGCCCCCUGGACAAAGACUGACGCUCAGGUGCGAAAGCGUGGGGAGCAAACAGG